Molecule: long non-coding RNA, 873 nt
Organism: Ixodes scapularis (black-legged tick)
Lineage: Eukaryota; Metazoa; Arthropoda; Arachnida; Ixodida; Ixodidae
Exons: 3
Source: RefSeq, a predicted model, not a curated record
UUUAAUUUUCAUAUUAGGUUACGUCGGACCAAACUUUAUUUUUCAUAUUGGGUACCUUAGAUGUAACUCGAAAUCUUGGGGUAAGGUUACGCUAGACACUGCGUUGAAAGAUGCACUUUUAUUUUUUUGAAAAGUAUUCUUUAACUUACGGCAGUGGCGAAUAGCACUUGUGUUGAUGAGAUGUUUUGAUUCCGCAUGUCCGGAAAGUUGCCGGGGCAGCUGUCGACUAUCUAUAUAGGACGGUAAUGUUGCAGGUACAAAAGUGAAUAAUACACCGUGUUGAAUAUUUAUUUAUUGGUCUUUUUCGGCAGUGCCGCUUGUGCCUGGACAAUGGAAGAUGAUGCAAAGGCCAAAAGAAAGCUACUCUGCAUCUGCACUCUGAAUAAUGUGAUGUCUCGGUAGCUACACAUGCUUUGUUAAAGGGAAGUUUAUUUCGCCACUUGCUAGGCAUCAUUGAGCAAGGUGAUCAUGCAGACGGCGACGCAAUGAAGCGUGGAAAUGGGCACCUAAGAGCUGCACUCUAAACCAGUUUUUCUCUGUUGCCGGUGCACAAGCAGGUAAUGUGCAUCCAACGUUCCACUGGAUCUGUCCGAAGGGCAGGCUGAUACUGCGGCAGACGCCACUGAGCGGACACACUGCAAAAAGGCGUCGGGCGUUUUCCGAAGUUUGUCAACUGACCUAGAUCUGAGAACGUUGGUACAUGUAUUGCUACCGUUGCCAAGCAGGACUGGAGAUUGUUAGAGUGUGAACAAUGUUCACACUUUGGUCAAUGCAAGCACAUCUUUUUUUUUUUAGUAAUAUUGACUAACAAGAUUGCAGCAAUCAAACAAGUUAACACCGAAAUGUUAAAAGCAAUAAAGAAAUUAAAGCCCG